RNAcentral lists this ribosomal RNA (392 nucleotides) under uncultured Gammaproteobacteria bacterium. Its description in RNAcentral is "bacterial SSU rRNA". It matches the Rfam family "Bacterial small subunit ribosomal RNA", at positions 370 to 779 of the family's 1533-position model. The record is from RNAcentral. Lineage: Bacteria; Pseudomonadati; Pseudomonadota; Gammaproteobacteria.
AAUGGGCGCAAGCCUGAUCCAGCCAUGCCGCGUGAGUGAUGUAGGCCCUAGGGUCGUAAAGCUCUUUCGCCAGGGAUGAUAAUGACAGUACCUGGUAAAGAAACCCCGGCUAACUCCGUGCCAGCAGCCGCGGUAAUACGGAGGGGGUUAGCGUUGUUCGGAAUUACUGGGCGUAAAGCGCGCGUAGGCGGACUAGUCAGUCAGAGGUGAAAUCCCAGGGCUCAACCCUGGAACUGCCUUUGAUACUGCUAGUCUUGAGUUCGAGAGAGGUGAGUGGAAUUCCGAGUGUAGAGGUGAAAUUCGUAGAUAUUCGGAGGAACACCAGUGGCGAAGGCGGCUCACUGGCUCGAUACUGACGCUGAGGUGCGAAAGUGCGGGGAGCAAACAGGAUU